RNAcentral lists this ribosomal RNA (492 nucleotides) under uncultured bacterium. Its description in RNAcentral is "partial 16S ribosomal RNA". It matches the Rfam family "Bacterial small subunit ribosomal RNA", at positions 29 to 507 of the family's 1533-position model. The record is from RNAcentral.
AGUGAACGCUGGCGGUAGGCCUAACACAUGCAAGUCGAACGGCAGCACAGUAAGAGCUUGCUCUUACGGGUGGCGAGUGGCGGACGGGUGAGGAAUACAUCGGAAUCUACUUUUUCGUGGGGGAUAACGUAGGGAAACUUACGCUAAUACCGCAUACGACCUACGGGUGAAAGCAGGGGAUCUUCGGACCUUGCGCGAUUGAAUGAGCCGAUGUCGGAUUAGCUAGUUGGCGGGGUAAAGGCCCACCAAGGCGAUGAUCCGUAGCUGGUCUGAGAGGAUGAUCAGCCACACUGGAACUGAGACACGGUCCAGACUCCUACGGGAGGCAGCAGUGGGGAAUAUUGGACAAUGGGCGCAAGCCUGAUCCAGCCAUACCGCGUGGGUGAAGAAGGCCCUCGGGUUGUAAAGCCCUUUUGUUGGGAAAGAAAAGCAGCAGGUUAAUACCCCGCUGUUCUGACGGUACCCAAAGAAUAAGCACCGGCUAACUUCGUG